UUAAGCGACUAAGCGUACACGGUGGAUGCCCUGGCAGUCAGAGGCGAUGAAGGACGUGCUAAUCUGCGAUAAGCGUCGGUAAGGUGAUAUGAACCGUUAUAACCGGCGAUUUCCGAAUGGGGAAACCCAGUGUGUUUCGACACACUAUCAUUAACUGAAUCCAUAGGUUAAUGAGGCGAACCGGGGGAACUGAAACAUCUAAGUACCCCGAGGAAAAGAAAUCAACCGAGAUUCCCCCAGUAGCGGCGAGCGAACGGGGAGCAGCCCAGAGCCUGAAUCAGUGUGUGUGUUAGUGGAAGCGUCUGGAAAGGCGCGCGAUACAGGGUGACAGCCCCGUACACAAAAAUGCACAUACUGUGAGCUCGAUGAGUAGGGCGGGACACGUGGUAUCCUGUCUGAAUAUGGGGGGACCAUCCUCCAAGGCUAAAUACUCCUGACUGACCGAUAGUGAACCAGUACCGUGAGGGAAAGGCGAAAAGAACCCCGGCGAGGGGAGUGAAAAAGAACCUGAAACCGUGUACGUACAAGCAGUGGGAGCCUCUUAAUGGGGUGACUGCGUACCUUUUGUAUAAUGGGUCAGCGACUUAUAUUCUGUAGCAAGGUUAACCGAAUAGGGGAGCCGAAGGGAAACCGAGUCUUAACUGGGCGUUAAGUUGCAGGGUAUAGACCCGAAACCCGGUGAUCUAGCCAUGGGCAGGUUGAAGGUUGGGUAACACUAACUGGAGGACCGAACCGACUAAUGUUGAAAAAUUAGCGGAUGACUUGUGGCUGGGGGUGAAAGGCCAAUCAAACCGGGAGAUAGCUGGUUCUCCCCGAAAGCUAUUUAGGUAGCGCCUCGUGAAUUCAUCUCCGGGGGUAGAGCACUGUUUCGGCAAGGGGGUCAUCCCGACUUACCAACCCGAUGCAAACUGCGAAUACCGGAGAAUGUUAUCACGGGAGACACACGGCGGGUGCUAACGUCCGUCGUGAAGAGGGAAACAACCCAGACCGCCAGCUAAGGUCCCAAAGUCAUGGUUAAGUGGGAAACGAUGUGGGAAGGCCCAGACAGCCAGGAUGUUGGCUUAGAAGCAGCCAUCAUUUAAAGAAAGCGUAAUAGCUCACUGGUCGAGUCGGCCUGCGCGGAAGAUGUAACGGGGCUAAACCAUGCACCGAAGCUGCGGCAGCGACACUAUGUGUUGUUGGGUAGGGGAGCGUUCUGUAAGCCUGUGAAGGUGUACUGUGAGGUAUGCUGGAGGUAUCAGAAGUGCGAAUGCUGACAUAAGUAACGAUAAAGCGGGUGAAAAGCCCGCUCGCCGGAAGACCAAGGGUUCCUGUCCAACGUUAAUCGGGGCAGGGUGAGUCGACCCCUAAGGCGAGGCCGAAAGGCGUAGUCGAUGGGAAACAGGUUAAUAUUCCUGUACUUGGUGUUACUGCGAAGGGGGGACGGAGAAGGCUAUGUUGGCCGGGCGACGGUUGUCCCGGUUUAAGCGUGUAGGCUGGUUUUCCAGGCAAAUCCGGAAAAUCAAGGCUGAGGCGUGAUGACGAGGCACUACGGUGCUGAAGCAACAAAUGCCCUGCUUCCAGGAAAAGCCUCUAAGCAUCAGGUAACAUCAAAUCGUACCCCAAACCGACACAGGUGGUCAGGUAGAGAAUACCAAGGCGCUUGAGAGAACUCGGGUGAAGGAACUAGGCAAAAUGGUGCCGUAACUUCGGGAGAAGGCACGCUGAUAUGUAGGUGAAGUCCCUUGCGGAUGGAGCUGAAAUCAGUCGAAGAUACCAGCUGGCUGCAACUGUUUAUUAAAAACACAGCACUGUGCAAACACGAAAGUGGACGUAUACGGUGUGACGCCUGCCCGGUGCCGGAAGGUUAAUUGAUGGGGUUAGCGGUAACGCGAAGCUCUUGAUCGAAGCCCCGGUAAACGGCGGCCGUAACUAUAACGGUCCUAAGGUAGCGAAAUUCCUUGUCGGGUAAGUUCCGACCUGCACGAAUGGCGUAAUGAUGGCCAGGCUGUCUCCACCCGAGACUCAGUGAAAUUGAACUCGCUGUGAAGAUGCAGUGUACCCGCGGCAAGACGGAAAGACCCCGUGAACCUUUACUAUAGCUUGACACUGAACAUUGAGCCUUGAUGUGUAGGAUAGGUGGGAGGCUUUGAAGUGUGGACGCCAGUCUGCAUGGAGCCGGCCUUGAAAUACCACCCUUUAAUGUUUGAUGUUCUAACGUUGGCCCCUGAUCGGGGUUGCGGACAGUGUCUGGUGGGUAGUUUGACUGGGGCGGUCUCCUCCUAAAGAGUAACGGAGGAGCACGAAGGUUGGCUAAUCCUGGUCGGACAUCAGGAGGUUAGUGCAAUGGCAUAAGCCAGCUUGACUGCGAGCGUGACGGCGCGAGCAGGUGCGAAAGCAGGUCAUAGUGAUCCGGUGGUUCUGAAUGGAAGGGCCAUCGCUCAACGGAUAAAAGGUACUCCGGGGAUAACAGGCUGAUACCGCCCAAGAGUUCAUAUCGACGGCGGUGUUUGGCACCUCGAUGUCGGCUCAUCACAUCCUGGGGCUGAAGUAGGUCCCAAGGGUAUGGCUGUUCGCCAUUUAAAGUGGUACGCGAGCUGGGUUUAGAACGUCGUGAGACAGUUCGGUCCCUAUCUGCCGUGGGCGCUGGAGAACUGAGGGGGGCUGCUCCUAGUACGAGAGGACCGGAGUGGACGCAUCACUGGUGUUCGGGUUGUCAUGCCAAUGGCACUGCCCGGUAGCUAAAUGCGGAAGAGAUAAGUGCUGAAAGCAUCUAAGCACGAAACUUGCCCCGAGAUGAGUUCUCCCUGACUCUUUGAGGGUCCUGAAGGAACGUUGAAGACGACGACGUUGAUAGGCCGGGUGUGUAAGCGCAGCGAUGCGUUGAGCUAACCGGUACUAAUGAACCGUGAGGCUUAACCUU
RNAcentral lists this ribosomal RNA (2902 nucleotides) under Escherichia coli BIDMC 43b. RNAcentral's name for it is "bacterial LSU rRNA". It matches the Rfam family "Bacterial large subunit ribosomal RNA". Lineage: Bacteria; Pseudomonadati; Pseudomonadota; Gammaproteobacteria; Enterobacterales; Enterobacteriaceae. The record is from RNAcentral.